GAUGAAUCUGCAAGAGAAUGAAGAGAAUUGAUCCAGAUCAUGGUGAGUAAUAUAUAUCUUCAACCUUUAGCAAUGGGAAUUGGUUUUAUCAAGUUUGUGGCAAUGAUGUUGUGUUCUUGAUUGUCUUGAUGAGAAACACAAUAUUGCUCUAUCAUCUCUAGAGAUUAUUCAUUCCAAAUUAUAGUAACAAUAUAUGUGAAUGAUAGUGCUUUUUUGUUUUUGUUUUUGUUUUUGUAGAUGUAAUUAUGUACCUUUAAUUAGUCUCAGAAGCAAUUUUAGACUAACGAUUGAGUUUCAG
Molecule: long non-coding RNA, 298 nt
Filed under: Brassica rapa (field mustard)
Lineage: Eukaryota; Viridiplantae; Streptophyta; Magnoliopsida; Brassicales; Brassicaceae
Description: long non-coding RNA (BRAP_LNC001414)
Source: RNAcentral